ACCUGUCUGAGGCAUUAGAGAGAAAGUUGGCACCAAAAUGGAGAAAGCAAUUGAAAAUAUCUUACUGUAUGCGGAGAUAUCCAUGGCGCGCCCGCGCUUCUCACUUCCCCCGCGCAGGAACCAACCAGGAAGAGCAUGCGGUUGGUCUUCAACGGCUCCAGGUUUUCCCCCGCGUACCGUCUCCUCCUUCUCCGUCCGCAACCUUUUCCCGUUCGCCCGAAUCUGCGGUCGCCUCCCUCCAACCAGAGACCUCGCUGUGCCGCUUCCUUACCUCCAUUCCUGCGAGAAAUGGCUCAUAGGGACGACACGGGAAGUGGCCCCGAUGCCGCCCCUACAGGCUCAAAAAAUUCAUAUCUUAUCGUCAUAACUGGAAAGUCUUCUUCUGAUAAUGAGUUUGCCUUCUCCCUAAAGCACAAGAAAAGCUUGAAGCUUGCUGAGGGCGAAGAAGAAAUCCAGAUACUUGUUCACUCUGAGCUACAAAAUCCAUGUGGCUUACAGACAUUUCAGACUAACUUAUACAUGAAUAAUCUUUCAACUUGCGUCUUUGGUAGAUUUCUGAUGUGGUCUCCACGGCUGCCUUCAACUCAUGAUCUUGUUUCGCAGAAUUUUUGUGAGCUUCCUUUAGGAACUGUUUGCAUCACGGAUAUCCAGUUUAAAGGAAGAGGGCGUUCUAAAAAUGUAUGGGAAUCACCACAUGGUUGCCUGUUGUUCUCAUUUACAUUGGAAAUGGACAAUGGGCACAUUCUACCUCUUCUGCAAUAUGUUGUAUCUCUUGCAAUAGUUGAGGCAAUAAGGGUUGCAUGUGAAGCAAAGGGUCUGCCGUGCCUUGAUGUGAAAAUAAAAUGGCCUAAUGACCUUUAUCUUGAUGGGCUUAAGGUUGGAGGGGUCCUAUGCACAUCAGCAUAUAGAUCAAAGAAGUUCAAUGUUAGUGCUGGCAUCGGGUUGAACUUGAAUAAUGAUAUGCCAACAACUUGCUUAAAUACAGCAUUACAGAAGUUAACAUCUGGCUCCCUACGUCUAACAAGGGAAGAAAUUCUUGCAUCCUUCUUCUCAAGAUUUGAAUCUCUGUAUGAAGCUUUUAUUAAUCAAGGAUUCCAAGCCCUUGAAAGUUUGUACUACAAAUAUUGGAUGCACAGACACAAUAGAACAUAUACAGGAAAAUGAGAUAGAUUGGGUUCAGAGAAGAGGCUUGAUGAGAUGGAGGAGACAAUAUCAUGAGACUUUGCCAGGGUAUCAGAUAUAAAGGAAUGUAUGCCUUCCAAAAGCUUGCCCCUGUCUUGUUCUAAAGAAUGCCAAUUUGUAGACAUUGAUUUUUUGCAAUGGCUAAAAUUCGUUACCUUUUUGCUAGUCAGAAAUGAUGAAAAAGAUUUGUCCAUGCAAAGGAAGAAACCAUUAUGAAAAUACACUGAAUAAUGAAUAAUUCACUUCUCAAAAAUGUACAGAAAGACAAAAAAGGAAUACACUUCAACCUCAAUAAAAGACACGCGAUAUUAUCUCAUUUACCUUUCCUCACACUUUUGAAGCUAUGGAAGACUAGCCUAGCUGUUAGCUUAUUAAAUUUUACACCGUUCAGAUAACAUAAUUUGCUUACUCUUUGUACCAUGUUUGAACUUUGCAGUGGGCAGAAAGUUGUCAUAGAGGAAAAGCAUGGCAACCCAAGUCCAGAAAAUAGUGUGGUUGCCAUUCAGGGUUUGACUUCUUCUGGUUACCUUUUGGCCAUUGAUGAUGAUAACAAGAAAUAUGAACUUCAUCCUGAUGGGAACAG
Nymphaea colorata (pocket water lily) is the source of this 1765-nucleotide RNA transcript. It is a transcript of the gene named biotin--protein ligase 1, chloroplastic-like, with no coding region annotated. NCBI's taxonomy places the organism in Eukaryota, Viridiplantae, Streptophyta, Magnoliopsida, Nymphaeales, Nymphaeaceae. The record is from RefSeq and is a predicted model, not a curated record. The transcript has 9 exons.